This 72-nucleotide transfer RNA is filed under the name Lachnospiraceae bacterium A2. It matches the Rfam family "tRNA". Rfam says of the family: Transfer RNA (tRNA) molecules are approximately 80 nucleotides in length. The record is from Rfam by way of RNAcentral. Lineage: Bacteria; Bacillati; Bacillota; Clostridia; Lachnospirales; Lachnospiraceae.
GGCGAUAUAGCAAAACGGUUAAGGCGGCAGUCUGCAAAACUGCUAUUAUCAGUUCGAUUCUGAUUAUCGCCU